GACGAACGCUGGCGGCGUGCUUAACACAUGCAAGUCGAACGGAAAGGCCCUGCUUUUGUGGGGUGCUCGAGUGGCGAACGGGUGAGUAACACGUGAGUAACCUUCCCUUGACUUUGGGAUAACUUCAGGCAACUGGGGCUAAUACCGGAUAGGAGCUCCUGCUGCAUGGUGGGGGUUGGAAAGUUUCGGCGGUUGGGGAUGGACUCGCGGCUUAUCAGCUUGUUGGUGGGGUAGUGGCUUACCAAGGCUUUGACGGGUAGCCGGCCUGAGAGGGUGACCGGCCACAUUGGGACUGAGAUACGGCCCAGACUCCUACGGGAGGCAGCAGUGGGGAAUAUUGCACAAUGGGCGGAAGCCUGAUGCAGCAACGCCGCGUGCGGGAUGACGGCCUUCGGGUUGUAAACCGCUUUCGCCUGUGACGAAGCGUGAGUGACGGUAAUGGGUAAAGAAGCACCGGCUAACUACGUG
This 468-nucleotide ribosomal RNA is filed under the name uncultured bacterium. Its description in RNAcentral is "partial 16S ribosomal RNA". It matches the Rfam family "Bacterial small subunit ribosomal RNA", at positions 28 to 507 of the family's 1533-position model. The record is from RNAcentral.